GAUGAACGCUGGCGGCGUGCCUAAUACAUGCAAGUCGAGCGAACGGACGAGAAGCUUGCUUCUCUGAUGUUAGCGGCGGACGGGUGAGUAACACGUGGAUAACCUACCUAUAAGACUGGGAUAACUUCGGGAAACCGUAGCUAAUACCGGAUAAUAUUUUGAACCGCAUGGUUCAAAAGUGAAAGACGGUCUUGCUGUCACUUAUAGAUGGAUCCGCGCUGCAUUAGCUAGUUGGUAAGGUAACGGCUUACCAAGGCAACGAUGCAUAGCCGACCUGAGAGGGGGAUCGCCCACACGGGAACAGAGACACGGCCCAGACUCCUACGGGGGGCAGCAGUAGGGAAUCGUCCGCAAUGGGCGAAAGCCUGACGGAGCAACGCCGCGUGAGUGAAGAAGGUCUUCGGAUCGUAAAACUCUGUUAUUAGGAAAAAACAUAUGUGUAAGUAACUGUGCAAAUCUUGACGGUACCUAAUCAGAAAGCCACGGCUAACGACG
RNAcentral lists this ribosomal RNA (495 nucleotides) under uncultured bacterium. RNAcentral's name for it is "partial 16S ribosomal RNA". It matches the Rfam family "Bacterial small subunit ribosomal RNA", at positions 28 to 505 of the family's 1533-position model. The record is from RNAcentral.